UCCUGUGAUCAGGUGAGCAGCAGUGCCUUU
This 30-nucleotide non-coding RNA is filed under the name Rattus norvegicus (Norway rat). The record is from RNAcentral. Lineage: Eukaryota; Metazoa; Chordata; Mammalia; Rodentia; Muridae.